UAAGGCAUUUCUUCUUAAAUUAGAAUUCAGGAUCAGGAACUCCUUUCUGUGUACAGGAUUAAGAAUGCAAACAUUCUGAAAGGCGAUCAGGAGACCAAUAAGGAUGCAGAUGAAGUCCGGUUUCAUCUGAAGAUGAUCACAGUCUUAGGAACAUCUGUUCUUGUUUCUGUUUCAUUGCCUAACAGUAUGGGUCAAAUUUUGGGGGGUUAUUAAAGUGUUUUGAGAUGAUUUGCUUUUCAACUCAGAGGAGCUACGUUUUUAAAUUCGCAAAUGAUUUAGCAGAUUGUUGUGUGCUUCUAUAGCUUGUUUUUGCAUUGCAAUUUCUGAAUAUGUAAAAAUGAUGAUUUGAAAUGGUUUUGAAUAGUUAUUGUUCCCAAAUUUUCUAAAUUAUUGUAAACAAAACAGGUGAAAUGUAUGUUGUGCCACUGUACUGUGCAAAGCUUCAAAUUCUAAGACGCAGGAGAGAGAAGUUCAAUCCCUUUAUUCAUUUGAUAAUUUCAUAGUUCUGUUUUCUGCAAUGAGUUACUGCUCUCAUGUGGUCUCUUCGGCAAAAUCAACUGCAUUCCUGCUGGUAGUUCAUGAAAUAAUAUUGGAAAGUAUGAAUAAAAUAAAUGGUAUAUUUUCAAAUC
This is a long non-coding RNA of Xiphophorus couchianus (Monterrey platyfish), 629 nucleotides long. RefSeq lists it as uncharacterized. Lineage: Eukaryota; Metazoa; Chordata; Actinopteri; Cyprinodontiformes; Poeciliidae. The transcript has 2 exons. The record is from RefSeq and is a predicted model, not a curated record.